RNAcentral lists this ribosomal RNA (490 nucleotides) under uncultured bacterium. RNAcentral describes it as "partial 16S ribosomal RNA". It matches the Rfam family "Bacterial small subunit ribosomal RNA", at positions 28 to 507 of the family's 1533-position model. The record is from RNAcentral.
GAUGAACGCUAGCGGCAGGCCUAAUACAUGCAAGUCGAACGGGAUCCAGAUCAAAGCUUGCUUUGGUUUGGUGAGAGUGGCGCACGGGUGCGUAACGCGUGAGCAACCUACCCUUGUCAGGGGGAUAGCCCGGCGAAAGUCGGAUUAAUACCGCAUGACAUCAUUGAGAGGCAUCUUUCGAUGAUCAAAGAUUUAUCGGACAAGGAUGGGCUCGCGUGACAUUAGCUAGUUGGUAAGGUAACGGCUUACCAAGGCUACGAUGUCUAGGGGCUCUGAGAGGAGAAUCCCCCACACUGGUACUGAGACACGGACCAGACUCCUACGGGAGGCAGCAGUAAGGAAUAGUGGUCAAUGGACGGAAGUCUGAACCAGCCAUGCCGCGUGCAGGAAGACGGCCCUAUGGGUUGUAAACUGCUUUUAUACGGGAACAAACGUCGGUACGGGUACCGGUCUGAGUGUACCGUAAGAAUAAGGAUCGGCUAACUCCGUG